This 1036-nucleotide ribosomal RNA is filed under the name uncultured bacterium. RNAcentral's name for it is "bacterial SSU rRNA". It matches the Rfam family "Bacterial small subunit ribosomal RNA", at positions 346 to 1397 of the family's 1533-position model. The record is from RNAcentral.
AGGCAGCAGUGGGGAAUUUUCCGCAAUGGGCGCAAGCCUGACGGAGCAAGACCGCGUGAGGGAGGAAGGCUCUUGGGUUGUAAACCUCUUUUAUCAGGGAAGAAGAUCUGACGGUACCUGAUGAAUCAGCAUCGGCUAACUCCGUGCCAGCAGCCGCGGUAAUACGGAGGAUGCAAGCGUUAUCCGGAUUUAUUGGGCGUAAAGCGUCCGCAGGUGGUUUUUCAAGUCUGCUGUUAAAGCGCAGAGCUUAACUCUGUAACGGCGGUGGAAACUGAGAGACUAGAGUAUGGUAGGGGUUGCGGGAAUUCCCAGUGUAGCGGUGAAAUGCGUAGAUAUUGGGAAGAACACCAGCGGCGAAAGCGCGCAACUGGGCCAUUACUGACACUCAUGGACGAAAGCUAGGGGAGCGAAAGGGAUUAGAUACCCCUGUAGUCCUAGCUGUAAACGAUGGGUACUAGGUGUUGACCGUAUCGACCCGGUCAGUGCCGUAGCUAACGCGUUAAGUACCCCGCCUGGGGAGUAUGCACGCAAGUGUGAAACUCAAAGGAAUUGACGGGGGGCCCGCACAAGCGGUGGAGUAUGUGGUUUAAUUCGAUGCAACGCGAAGAACCUUACCAGGGCUUGACAUGUCGCGAAUCUCGGUGAAAGUCGAGAGUGCCUUCGGGAGCGCGAACACAGGUGGUGCAUGGCUGUCGUCAGCUCGUGUCGUGAGAUGUUGGGUUAAGUCCCGCAACGAGCGCAACCCUCGUUUUUAGUUGCCAGCAUUUAGUUGGGCACUCUAGAGAGACUGCCGGUGACAAACCGGAGGAAGGUGGGGAUGACGUCAAGUCAGCAUGCCCCUUACGUCCUGGGCUACACACGUACUACAAUGCUUCGGACAAAGGGUUGCGAGCUAGCGAUAGCAAGCUAAUCCCGUAAACCGAGGCUCAGUUCAGAUUGCAGGCUGCAACUCGCCUGCAUGAAGGAGGAAUCGCUAGUAAUCCCAGGUCAGCAUACUGGGGUGAAUACGUUCCCGGGCCUUGUACACACCGCCCGU